UACAGAGGGUGCAAGCGUUAAUCGGAAUUACUGGGCGUAAAGGGUGCGUAGGUGGUUUGUUAAGUUGGUUGUGAAAUCCCUGGGCUUAACCUAGGAAUUGCAGUCAAUACUGGCAAGCUAGAGUAGAAUAGAGGGUAGUAGAAUUUCCGGUGUAGCGGUGAAAUGCGUAGAUAUCGGAAGGAACACCAGUGGCGAAGGCGACUACCUGGAUUCAUACUGACACUGAGGCACGAAAGCGUGGGGAGCAAACAGG
RNAcentral lists this ribosomal RNA (253 nucleotides) under uncultured bacterium. Its description in RNAcentral is "partial 16S ribosomal RNA". It matches the Rfam family "Bacterial small subunit ribosomal RNA", at positions 524 to 776 of the family's 1533-position model. The record is from RNAcentral.